UGUUUAAAGAGAAUUCUAAUGUGGUUAAGCCAGGUCUGUAACUGCCACCAUACACUGGCGCUUUUAACACACCACUGCCAAGCUCUCUUUGGCAUGCAAAGCUAAACCCUGUGCUCCCUUAUGCCAGCACCCAACCAGAACACCAUGGGCAGGCAGCCAAUACAGGCGUAACUUGGUAAGACUGAGAAAGUCAUCCUUGAGAGUGUUUCAUCUCAGAUGUGGGACCGGCUGGCUGUGUUUAAGCAGUGGUGGUAGGGAAGCACUCAUCACAUGUUCAAAGGCACCCCUUUCGGAAUAGCUUCACAGGAAAGGUACCAGAAAGUGGUUGCAGGUGAAGCCUGCAGGAAUCCCUAGCUGCAGUUACACCCUUGGAGUUGGAAUGUCUUUGCCAAAGAAAAAGCACAGCUUGACCUGAGGAGGAUCAGAUCCAGAACCCUGUAUUACUUUGGGAUGACAAUUCACCCUGCAAGCAUGCAGUGUCACAUACCUCUCACUCAGCCUUCAGGCUGUUUCCCUGACCCACCCCCAUCCGAAAACUAAAGCGGGGGGUGGGGGGGAAUUGGUCAUGUGUAGUUGUCACAGGCUGGAGAUACACCAUAUGUUGAACUUCUGCCUGCAGCUGUUUACUGGGGAUUGGAGCGGGAGGGAAGAGCUGAGCGAGUGGAAGUCCUAAUGCCCUCCCACUCCUGCCCUAAGAAGAUCAAUCAUUGCAGAGGCUGCAACCCUAAGCACACUUCCUAGAAAGAAGCACAGGAUCCCUGAGCACUGAGCACAGGAUCCCGCUGUGCGAUGCACACGGAGGAGACCUAGUAGAGUGGUGGUGGGCAAGGGCCCCGAUUUGGCGCAAAGAAAACGCAGAAUGGAGCUUCUCUCUGCCUUACCCACCUACCCGCAACACCCCCAACUUUGUCCUUCAGAACCGUCGGUCUGGGUUUCAUCAAGAGCCCCCACGCCAAAUCUCUCCGCUUUGGCGCCCCGCUUUUCCCGCACUGGGCCUUCCUCCUCCUCCCCAUAUGUGUGGCAGGCGAAGCCAGUCCCCUCCGAGCGACCCCCAUCCCGCACGACAAGGCGCCUGGCUGCGACUCCUCCGGUGCCGGAGACGCCGUGUCUCUCGCGAUUUAUUUCCUCCCCGUCGGCCUCCAGUCAAUGCAAGCAUUUCCAGAGCGGCGGCCCACAGGCAGCAAUCGCAAAUGAAAUCAAUAAAGCCGAGAAAGAACGAUGUCGGAAGUGAAAACAGCAGAGAAAAGGAAGAACCUAUCAGUCCUUGAGCCUGUGAAGUAGUUAUGAGGAGUGUCUUUGAGCCUGUGCAGAGUACUUUGCCCUCCAUACAUCCAAGGUCAAAGGAACGGUGUCAAGGUAGGUUUCAGCCCCAGCAAUUUUCAUUUUGGAAAUAAAAUAUUGAUCAUAUACUGGAUUUCAGGACACUUAAGGUCUAUGGAACCCAAAAGAGAUCUCACCUUGGACUGCAAAGCCAAGCGCAACCCUUUCACAUGAAAAUUCAUUUGUAGCUUUUUCUUUUCCUUGAAAUCCUGCUAAACAAAGGAUUCUGUGUUAUUUUAAAGUUUACUUGUAUUGUCAACAUUAUUUACGGCAACUCUAUACUUGUCUACUCAGAAGAAAGUUCCAUUGAGUUACCAGGACAAGUGGGAAUAGAAUUGCAGCCUUAGUCCCAAUAAAGUUAUGAUCCCCCUGGCUCUGCAUUUUCAGAUCUGAAAACAUUUAUUUGUUUAUGUUUGUUUGUUUUUUCUGGCAGCGAGAGAGUUCUCACUGAAAAGAAUAUUUGUGUGAGCAGAGGUACUUUUGAGAUGUUUGGGGACAGAGGUGCAUAGAAUUUGUGCUGGACCAUAACAUUAUUUAGGUGGGCGGGGGAGAGAGGGAAUGAUAGAUCGGGAUAUGAGAUUUGUGUUUGUAUUUCAAGGAGGAA
Podarcis muralis (Common wall lizard) is the source of this 1924-nucleotide non-coding RNA. Lineage: Eukaryota; Metazoa; Chordata; Lepidosauria; Squamata; Lacertidae. The record is from RefSeq and is a predicted model, not a curated record.